UAGUAAAAUUACCAUUUUUUU
Molecule: transfer RNA, 21 nt
Filed under: Amblyomma americanum (Lone Star tick)
Lineage: Eukaryota; Metazoa; Arthropoda; Arachnida; Ixodida; Ixodidae
Description: partial tRNA-Val
Source: RNAcentral